Molecule: non-coding RNA, 601 nt
Organism: Parasteatoda tepidariorum (common house spider)
Lineage: Eukaryota; Metazoa; Arthropoda; Arachnida; Araneae; Theridiidae
Source: RefSeq, a predicted model, not a curated record
UUGCAUUGAUAUAAGAGCAGCUGACUGAAAAAUGGAUUUAAAAUUUCUCGUUCAAAAAUCUCUAAGUCUCGAAAUUAAUGAUAAACUUUUUAAAAAUGAGCUGUUUCAAAGCAAACUAAAAGAUUAUAAAUGACUCAUAACUUAUAGAAUAAAAGAGAAAAUUUAGGUGGUAAAUUUCACUGCGAUUUAAAACAGCUGCUUUAUUAGUACUGUAUCAGGUACGAUUAGUCUUUAAAUAUAACCUCAAUAUGUCUAGAUUUGUUCUGAUUUUCUUGGUUGUGUGCACCGUUGUAUGUCUAACUGAAUGCAAGCCUGCCGAUGGCGAUGGUAACGACGAUGCAAAAUUGACAGACUUGACCCCUAUCGUGGGUGACCUUCUUGGUUUUAUCCAAAAAGCUCUGGAACCUUUUUUCAACGCACUCGCACCAAUUCUGCAGUCCGUUUUUCCCGGUCUUCCGUGAAAUCUCCAGGAUUGCCAAACUAAUGGCAAAAAUCACGGACUAAUGCUGGAAAGACAAAAAUGAUAUAAUCUUCUGUUUUGAGUGUUAUGUUAAUAAAUCUAAUAUUCUACACAUUUAAAAAAAUAAAAAAUUUGUAUGUC